CACGGCAGCGGGGGCUUCCGCCUGCCGGCGAGUGGCGAACGGGUGAGACGUGCAUCUGAACCUGCCCAUGUCGUGGGGGAUAACGUAUCGAAAGGUACGCUAAUACCGCAUACGUCCUGAGGGAGAAAGCGGGAGACUCCCAAGAGCCUCGGGCGAUUGGAACGGCCGAUGUCGGAUUAGCUUAGCUUGUUGUAAAGGUUCCCCCUGGCCGCUAUCCCUUGUGGGUCGGAGAGGAUGAUCCGCCACACUGGGACGGAAACCCGGCCCCGACUCCUCCCGGAGGGAGCGCUGGGGAAUUUUGGAUUAUGGGCCCAAGCCUGCUCCGCCCCUGCCGCGUGAGUGAAGAAGGCCUUCUCUUUGUAUUGCUCUUUCGGCCAGGAAGAGAUCGUGUUCUCUAACUUAGGAUAUGGAUGACGGUACCGGAAUUACAAACACCGCACA
Molecule: ribosomal RNA, 441 nt
Filed under: Betaproteobacteria bacterium
Lineage: Bacteria; Pseudomonadati; Pseudomonadota; Betaproteobacteria
Description: bacterial SSU rRNA
Rfam family: Bacterial small subunit ribosomal RNA
Source: RNAcentral